GUUGAACGCUGGCGGCAGGCCUAACACAUGCAAGUCGAACGAGUGGCGGACGGGUGAGUAACGCGUAAGUAACUGCCUCAUAGCGGGGGAUAACUAUUGGAAACGAUAGCUAAUACCGCAUAAUGUGCGAUGGACCUAGGUUGUAUUAGCUAGUUGUUGGGGUAAAGGCCCACUAAGGCGACGAUACGUAGCCGAUCUGAGAGGGUGAUCGGCCACACUGGGACUGAGACACGGCCCAGACUCCUACGGGAGGCAGCAGUAGGGAAUCUGCGGCAAUGGACGGAAGUCUGACCGAGCAACGCCGCGUGAGUGAAGAAGGUUUUCGGAUCGUAAAGCUCUGUUGUUAGAGACGCGGUAACUAACCAGAAAGGGACGGCUAACUACGUGCCAGCAGCCGCGGUAAUUC
Molecule: ribosomal RNA, 406 nt
Filed under: uncultured bacterium
Lineage: Bacteria
Description: partial 16S ribosomal RNA
Rfam family: Bacterial small subunit ribosomal RNA
Source: RNAcentral